This 253-nucleotide ribosomal RNA is filed under the name uncultured bacterium. RNAcentral describes it as "partial 16S ribosomal RNA". It matches the Rfam family "Bacterial small subunit ribosomal RNA", at positions 524 to 776 of the family's 1533-position model. The record is from RNAcentral.
UACAGAGGGUGCAAGCGUUAAUCGGAAUUACUGGGCGUAAAGCGUGCGCAGUCGGUUAUUUAAGUCGGGCGUGAAAGCCCCGGGCUCAACCUGGGAAUUGCGUUCGAUACUGGAUAGCUAGAGUUCGGCAGAGGGAAGCGGAAUUUCGGGUGUAGCGGUGAAAUGCGUAGAUAUCCGAAGGAACAUCAGUGGCGAAAGCGGCUUCCUGGACCAGAACUGACGAUCAGGCACGAAAGCGUGGGGAGCAAACAGG